Long non-coding RNA from Exaiptasia diaphana, 276 nucleotides. RefSeq lists it as uncharacterized. The record is from RefSeq and is a predicted model, not a curated record. The transcript has 2 exons. Lineage: Eukaryota; Metazoa; Cnidaria; Anthozoa; Actiniaria; Aiptasiidae.
AACACUNAUUGACAAGGAUUGAAGUAUGGAAUGAAAAACGUUGGAUUUUGAAGAAAGUUACAGUGCAGUAUGUUCAAGGCAGAAAGCGUUACACGGCGUGCUUUGGGAGAAGACUUUGGUCCAAGGCAGUGUCAAGAAAUCUGCGACAUGGUCAUGUUCUUUGUUAAAGAAACGAUACUUUAUAUGCUUGGCAUAGUACCCAUACCUUUGCAACUAAUUUUUACCGAGACGGACAUUUUGCUAUUAAAAAUUGAAUUUUUCUGUUUUACUACUAUG